RNAcentral lists this ribosomal RNA (253 nucleotides) under uncultured bacterium. RNAcentral describes it as "partial 16S ribosomal RNA". It matches the Rfam family "Bacterial small subunit ribosomal RNA", at positions 524 to 776 of the family's 1533-position model. The record is from RNAcentral.
UACGUAGGUGGCAAGCGUUGUCCGGAUUUACUGGGCGUAAAGGGCUUGUAGGCGGUUUGUUAAGUCUGGUGUGAAAUCUCCCGGCUCAACCGGGAGGGGUCAUCGGAUACUGGCAGACUAGAGACGGGUAGAGGAAAGCAGAAUUCCCGGUGUAGCGGUGAAAUGCGUAGAUAUCGGGAGGAAUACCAGUGGCGAAGGCGGCUUUCUGGGCCUGCUCUGACGCUGAGGAGCGAAAGCGUGGGGAGCAAACGGG